This 371-nucleotide ribosomal RNA is filed under the name uncultured organism. RNAcentral describes it as "bacterial SSU rRNA". It matches the Rfam family "Bacterial small subunit ribosomal RNA", at positions 526 to 896 of the family's 1533-position model. The record is from RNAcentral.
CGUAGGGUGCGAGCGUUUAAUCGGAAUUACUGGGCGUAAAGCGUGCGCAGGCGGUUUUGUAAGACAGAUGUGAAAUCCCCGGGCUCAACCUGGGACCUGCAUUUGUGACUGCAAGGCUAGAGUACGGUAGAGGGGGAUGGAAUUCCGCGUGUAGCAGUGAAAUGCGUAGAUAUGCGGAGGAACACCGAUGGCGAAGGCAAUCCCCUGGACCUGUACUGACGCUCAUGCACGAAAGCGUGGGGAGCAAACAGGAUUAGAUACCCUGGUAGUCCACGCCCUAAACGAUGUCAACUGGUUGUUGGGUCUUUACUGACUCAGUAACGAAGCUAACGCGUGAAGUUGACCGCCUGGGGAGUACGGCCGCAAGGUUG